RNAcentral lists this ribosomal RNA (910 nucleotides) under Enterococcus faecium. Its description in RNAcentral is "bacterial SSU rRNA". It matches the Rfam family "Bacterial small subunit ribosomal RNA", at positions 104 to 999 of the family's 1533-position model. The record is from RNAcentral. Lineage: Bacteria; Bacillati; Bacillota; Bacilli; Lactobacillales; Enterococcaceae.
GGGUGAGUAACACGUGGGUAACCUGCCCAUCAGAAGGGGAUAACACUUGGAAACAGGUGCUAAUACCGUAUAACAAUCAAAACCGCAUGGUUUUGAUUUGAAAGGCGCUUUCGGGUGUCGCUGAUGGAUGGACCCGCGGUGCAUUAGCUAGUUGGUGAGGUAACGGCUCACCAAGGCCACGAUGCAUAGCCGACCUGAGAGGGUGAUCGGCCACAUUGGGACUGAGACACGGCCCAAACUCCUACGGGAGGCAGCAGUAGGGAAUCUUCGGCAAUGGACGAAAGUCUGACCGAGCAACGCCGCGUGAGUGAAGAAGGUUUUCGGAUCGUAAAACUCUGUUGUUAGAGAAGAACAAGGAUGAGAGUAACUGUUCAUCCCUUGACGGUAUCUAACCAGAAAGCCACGGCUAACUACGUGCCAGCAGCCGCGGUAAUACGUAGGUGGCAAGCGUUGUCCGGAUUUAUUGGGCGUAAAGCGAGCGCAGGCGGUUUCUUAAGUCUGAUGUGAAAGCCCCCGGCUCAACCGGGGAGGGUCAUUGGAAACUGGGAGACUUGAGUGCAGAAGAGGAGAGUGGAAUUCCAUGUGUAGCGGUGAAAUGCGUAGAUAUAUGGAGGAACACCAGUGGCGAAGGCGGCUCUCUGGUCUGUAACUGACGCUGAGGCUCGAAAGCGUGGGGAGCAAACAGGAUUAGAUACCCUGGUAGUCCACGCCGUAAACGAUGAGUGCUAAGUGUUGGAGGGUUUCCGCCCUUCAGUGCUGCAGCUAACGCAUUAAGCACUCCGCCUGGGGAGUACGACCGCAAGGUUGAAACUCAAAGGAAUUGACGGGGGCCCGCACAAGCGGUGGAGCAUGUGGUUUAAUUCGAAGCAACGCGAAGAACCUUACCAGGUCUUGACAUCCUUUGACCACU